ACUCAGCAAAUCUGCAACUCUUAGCCCGUAUAGAUUAAACAUCAGAAAAAAAAAAAGCCAAAAUCAUGUUGGAAAAAUAUACCUGAAGAUUUGAAGAGCUAAGGUGCAACGUGUGGGCACUGACAGCACAGUGAGGCACCUGCUGAAGUCUCCACUCACUCUCCUGCCCACACAGGUCAGCCAGGGCUGGGGUGGGUAAAUGAAACCUUACUUGGAGCUUUUUACCAUCUAUACCUGCAGAACUGUAGUAAAUGCAAGUGAGGGUGGCUCUUCCCUGUUAUCCCAGGGUAAAACCUACUUAGCAAAACGCAAAGAAAAGAAUUUACCUCGAGGAAAUAGGUUCAUUUUCCCAGAAAUGGAAGCAGUUUACUGCAGCCAGGCAGUGGUUGACAUGAACCUUUUCUGCUACAGAACCCAUCUAUGGUCUGUUCUAAAGCUACACUCAGGCUAGGCUGUUGCUAGAGACAAGACACAUGGAGAAGCAGUCGGACAUCUGAAGGGCUCACACAUGUAAUAAUGCCAACAAAUCUUACAAAGUUUUGAAACACGUUCUAAGGAUAGACUGUUAUACUCUUGAAUUAGUAUGUCUACCUAAGAAUCACCUCAGAAAUGGUAGAAAGUAAGUAACUUUGAAGCUAGCUGUUAAGUAUAAUUCAGAUACAGUAACUGCAGUCUACAUGGAUGAUCCACCCUCCCUCCAGGAAGGAAGCUUAACUCCCCACCCCUUGAGACUUGCAUACAAAGGACAGAAGCUCUGGUCAGGGCUUGUUCUGAAAGAGAGUGACAAGUGCUAACUCAUCCAGCAGUCACGGUCUGCACCAACAAUGAGAAGACGGAAGUGGUUUCUUUAUAUCUGUGGUCUCAGGAGCACCCAUAACCGCAGCCUAUCGAGGAGGAAAACAUCAGAGAAAUGCCAAAGGAUGGGUAUCUCCCACUAAUCCUCAGGUUAUCAACGAAAACACAGGUCAGAAGAGCCAGCCGUCUGAGGAGAUAAGGCACUGAAGGGUCCAGAACACAAGGAUAAACCGAUGCACUUCACCAAACUGUUGCAGAGUUAUCUGAAAUAAGACUGAACAAAGCCCAGAGACGGGGCAGCAGUUCACUUCACCGUUUCUCUGUGCAGUUCAACUCCAUUCUGAAGUGUUAUUUCUCCUGCAUCAGCACACUGCACACCCACACUACAGCAGGAAUCCUGCAAGUAUGGUUGGUCCUGCACUAAAGCCUCCCUGUACCAUGCAAUGAUCUCAGUU
This 1250-nucleotide long non-coding RNA is filed under the name Mus pahari (shrew mouse). RNAcentral's name for it is "lncRNA (MGP_PahariEiJ_G0003464.1)". The record is from RNAcentral. Lineage: Eukaryota; Metazoa; Chordata; Mammalia; Rodentia; Muridae.